CAGUCGCCGCGGGAAUACAGAGGGUGCGAGCGUUAAUCGGAUUUACUGGGCGUAAAGCGUGCGUAGGCGGCUUUUUAAGUCGGAUGUGAAAUCCCUGAGCUUAACUUAGGAAUUGCAUUCGAUACUGGGAAGCUAGAGUAUGGGAGAGGAUGGUAGAAUUCCAGGUGUAGCGGUGAAAUGCGUAGAGAUCUGGAGGAAUACCGAUGGCGAAGGCAGCCAUCUGGCCUAAUACUGACGCUGAGGUACAAAAGCAUGGGGAGCAAACAGGAUUAGAGACCCCUGUAGUCCCUGUCUCUUAUAC
RNAcentral lists this ribosomal RNA (301 nucleotides) under uncultured bacterium. Its description in RNAcentral is "partial 16S ribosomal RNA". It matches the Rfam family "Bacterial small subunit ribosomal RNA", at positions 509 to 807 of the family's 1533-position model. The record is from RNAcentral.